UAGGGAAUCUUCGGCAAUGGACGGAAGUCUGACCGAGCAACGCCGCGUGAGUGAAGAAGGUUUUCGGAUCGUAAAGCUCUGUUGUAAGAGAAGAACGAGUGUGAGAGUGGAAAGUUCACACUGUGACGGUAUCUUACCAGAAAGGGACGGCUAACUACGUGCCAGCAGCCGCGGUAAUACGUAGGUCCCGAGCGUUGUCCGGAUUUAUUGGGCGUAAAGCGAGCGCAGGCGGUUAGAUAAGUCUGAAGUUAAAGGCUGUGGCUUAACCAUAGUAGGCUUUGGAAACUGUUUAACUUGAGUGCAGGAGGGGAGAGUGGAAUUCCAUGUGUAGCGGUGAAAUGCGUAGAUAUAUGGAGGAACACCGGUGGCGAAAGCGGCUCUCUGGCUUGUAACUGACGCUGAGGCUCGAAAGCGUGGGGAGCAAACAGGAUUAGAUACCCUGGUAGUCCACGCUGUAAACGAUGAGUGCUAGGUGUUAGACCCUUUCCGGGGUUUAGUGCCGUAGCUAACGCAUUAAGCACUCCGCCUGGGGAGUACGACCGCAAGGUUG
RNAcentral lists this ribosomal RNA (550 nucleotides) under uncultured bacterium. RNAcentral describes it as "bacterial SSU rRNA". It matches the Rfam family "Bacterial small subunit ribosomal RNA", at positions 355 to 896 of the family's 1533-position model. The record is from RNAcentral.